Andrographis paniculata is the source of this 4854-nucleotide long non-coding RNA. RefSeq lists it as uncharacterized. The record is from RefSeq and is a predicted model, not a curated record. NCBI's taxonomy places the organism in Eukaryota, Viridiplantae, Streptophyta, Magnoliopsida, Lamiales, Acanthaceae. The transcript is spliced from 3 exons.
UAUACUGUCUUUUCUUUCAAUCUUGUUUGCAAUAUGUACCAGUAUCUUUUGCUUUGUUAUAGCUUUCAUCCUGGCAGUAAGUGCUUGAUGAAAGUACGCAUGUUAAUCUGUCAAAAGAAAUGAUUUGAUAGCUUUCAUCCUGGCACUUUGUUUCAUAGCAUGAAAUUCUUCAAUGAGAUCUUACCAAUGAUUGUGAGAAACAUCAAGACUAGGGACACUGGGUUGGAGAUUUAGGUUUUUUACCAUGGUGGUAUAUGUGAUUAAGAUGCAUAACGGUACCGAGAAAUAUAUAAAAAAUGAGAUACUGGCACAUUAUGUAGAUGACAAAGAAAAAUAGAAUUGUGUGCUGUUUAGUGGAGUCUACCACAAGUGUUGUGCUUUCUCUUCUCUUGAGUCAGUAUUCAUGCUAACAAUCCCUUUUUUUUAUGAUAUUUUGAUCAAUUAAGUGCUAUGUUAAUGGUAUGUGUCUGUUCUCCCAAUUUGGUUAAAGAUCACAAUAUAACUAUCCAUCUUGAUAUAUGAUUAAUAGGAGAUAUUUGCUCGAGUGCAAAACUAGUGUUUGUUUGAAGGAUUUUAACAAAAUUUUACUAUUUACCAAAUUUUUUCCCCAAAACAUCAAAUAAAAUACCUAUUUUUUAUUUUUGAUAUUAUACAAAAGAAUAAUUUUACAUUCAAAACAUCACAUCAUCACCUAUUUAUAUUACAUCAUACAACUAUACCAAUUCCAAAAUUUUUACUAUUCAAAUCUCAAACCCAACAUCCAAACCUCCAAACAAACACACCCUUAAAAUAAAGCGACUAAGAUAUUAUCUGCAUUAGGGUAAUUUUUCUACGCUGUAGUGCUUGAUUCUGACUAAGGGAUCGAAACCUCUAAAUUGAAGAUUUUCAGUAUGCACAAGAUUUACAUGAAACUACAUCCACAAGCAAGAGAGUAUGAAAAUCCACUAAUUUAACCAGGGAAAAUUCAAUUAUAUUUUCAAUGGAUAUGCAAGGAUUUUCUGAUAGCAAAUCUCCCGUUUAUAGUUGAAUUCGUCACAAGAUUACUCUCUUUAGUGUAAAGUGGGUGCAUGUCAAUAUAAACAUCUCAUUAUGGUCUUGGAUUAUCCUUGCCAACACAAAACUAUAAUCGAGUAUAACAUGCUUUUGUAGGAAGGUUAGUAUUUCUGUAAAGUACAAGUUAAGUUCUUUUCCAAAGUAAGUUUCUACAUAGGGUAAUUCUUGUGCAUGACUAAUUGCUUCAUAAGAAAACAUCCUCUCCAAAGUUAAAAAAAUCCGGCCUAAUAGAAUUCUGAGUUAUAAGCUUAACAAUCUACCGCCCUUAAAUAUCAUUUUCUACUAGCCUAGAAUCAAACUUUUCGAUGCCUAACUUCAUUUUGAAACACCUACAAGAUCAUUGCUUAUUUAAUUGAGUUGUAUAAGUUGUAUAGCAUAUCAUGUAAACCUUUGCUUAUGUUCAUUCCAACAAUGCCGAUCAUGCUUUGAUCUGAGUCUGCAUGUAUCAACUUGCACCUUCAGAGGUUUCUUUCGUUGUUUCAAAAGUCCCUCCAAGGUAACUGUGCAAACUAUUUUGUCUGUGAUUGAUUCAUUCUUUUAGCACUAAAUGUCUCUUGACUGUUUCCCACUAUUAAACUACCAAAACCAUCGUGUUUUUGUCGAUAUAGUUCGCUGCUUGUCAUUCAGAAUGCAUGACUUUAUCAGCUAGUUGGUCUAUAAAGAAAUUUCUAAGUAUCCAGGAAUUUCAGAAUCAUUCUCUAUACCUGCUACUGGCCUCCGCGGUCUAGCAGUCACUAAUGUGUAUAUUAUAUUUAUUUAUUAUUUCCAAUUCCUGAUUAUGUGGUGUCUUCCCUUCACCAAAGCGACACUACUCCCUAGCAGGAUUGAUAGAACUAUUUAGUACAGUAACAAGUCACUAGUACCAGACUUUUUUGGAAAUUACAUUAUUGGUUCUGUAAAAAUCUUUUUAGGGUGUGUUUGUUUGGGGAUUCUCCCCCAAAUACACUAUUCAUCCCAUUUUUUUCCCUAAAAAAUAACAAAUCAAACACCUAUUUUUCAUUUUUUAUAUUAUACUCCCUCCGUCCUAGAUAAGAUGGACGCAUUACUAUAGAUACGAGAGUUUAGGUAAAAUAUAAUUAGUAAGUAAUUAAGAAGUGUAUUAGUAAAAAUAAUUAUAGAUUAAGAUUAAGAUAACUAAAUAUUUUAAUUAAAAUUAAAAAAAUUUAAAAUUUAAAUUUUAAAAUGAUUAAAGUGUAUAAUCAAUUUUCCAAAAAAAGAAAGGACAAAUUAUGUGGGACAGACGAAAAUAGAAAAUAGAGACAAAUUAUGUGGGACGGAGGGAGUACUAAAAAUCAAUUUUACAUUCAAAACAUCACAUUAACACCUAUUUAUAUCACAUCAUACAACUAUUCAAAUUCAAAAUUUUUACUAUUCAAAUCCCAACUCAAAAUCCAAACCCCAAAACAAACACACCCUUAAUACUCUAUUAUUCUGGAGUUCUUCCUCUUCGAUAGUUUUUUGGUAUAACCUCCUCCAACAUAUUCCUUUUUUAAUUUAAGAUCUUAUUUCAUUUAAUAACUCUUAUUAUUAUUAUUAUUAUUAUUAUUAUUAUUACUACUCCCUCCAUCCCACAUACCAUGUCCACGUUGUCGUUUCUGUCCGUCCUACAUUCCAUGUCACUUUCCUUUUCUGGAAAAUGAUUAUACACUUUAAUCUCAUUUUAAACUUUUUAAUUUUAAUUAAACUAAUUAGUUAUCUUAAUCUUAAUUUAUAAUUAUUUAUAUUAUAAGAUAAUUAUUUUACUAAUAUAUUUUUAAUUAUCUACUAAUUACACCCCUCCUAAAAUACCGUGUCUACAGUGCAGCAGACACGGUAUGUGGGACGGAGGGAGUAUUAUAAUGAUAAAUCUUUUUACUUACAAUCAUAUUAUGCAUAUUUCAAGAAAUAUUUUUUCCAUUUUCUUUAAAAUUCUUAGUUAGGUCCCAUUAGUGUUUGUAUUGUUAUGAAAGAUGACCAGUGCAAGCUAUUCACCCAUCUAGAUAAUUUAGUCUAUAGCUGGUUGUUUGAUUUUCACUGAGUUCAUGUUCAGAAGCUGUUUCAAAAUUUUACUAUCUGUUACCAUAACAUCAAUAGAAAAAGAUGCCGUAAAUAUUUCUUAACUUAAAAUUUUUAAAUGUAUUCUUUCAACAGUGUGUAUAUAUGGAUAUACUAAAAAUGCAUUUCUUUAAUUUGAGAAUGAAAAUUGGUGCAAGUUAUUAAACAAGAUUUGCAUAUUUCUACGGCCUUGCAUUGCUUUACAUUAUAAAACAUAUAUAGGCCUUUCUCAGAUAAUGAUGAGUCAUGACCAUUUGCAUUUAAUCAUCUGUUUUACUUUUCAUUUAUCAAAUUUGUAAUCAAACUCCCAAAAGGUGUCAUUCAUAAUGAACACAAUUUCGGGAACAUGUGGACAAAGGAAAUAUAACCAUUAUUUUUUUUGUGUCGUAAAUUGUAAUGGUUAGGUUAACAUCAUCAGGAGAAUGGUCGAAGUAAUAUUUUAACUCUAAAUUUGAACAUGAUUUCGAAGGAUAUGUAUGAAGUCAAGCUUGACUGAAAUUACUGGACUCAUAAUGUCUGAAUUCUAAAUUGUUAUGUAUCAUCGGCAAUAAUUUCCCUGCUAGAUUCCUGGUUCUUAUGUGAAGGCCCCAAACUCCCUGGAUUUGGAGGAUACAAGUAAAGAUGAAAGUAGUCAUGUGCUUGCAUAAAAUGUCUGCAUUUUAUUUACUUCUUUUUAACAUAGAUUAAACUUGUUUAAUUACUCAGGUUUCUAUAUUCACUUCAUAAAUUUUUUCUGUUACAUAUAUAUAUAUAUAUUUUAAAAGUUCAGGUAGAAUAGGCAAGAAGUAAAAUUAACUUGAUGCACAUGAACACAAGGGUUGAUUUAUUUUUGCAUUCAUUUUUUGAGUUUAGAUAGAGAUUUUUGGAGGAUACAAGUAAAGAUGAAAGUAGUCUUGUGCUUUCAUAAAAUGUCUGCAUUUUAUUUACCUCUUUUUAACAUAGAUUAAACUUGUUUAAUUACUCAGGUUUCUAUAUUUACAUCAUAAAUAUUUUCCGUUACAUUUUUUUUUUUUCUUAAGUUCAGGUAGAAUAGGCAAGAAGGAAAAUUAACUUGAUGCACAUGAACGAACAGGAGAUACCAAGGAUCAGUAAGGUUGCAAAAGUUGCAUCACUCUGCAGCUGACCAUACCUAGCUGCAAUUUAUGACUGGCAUAGAGCAAAACUGGUGUCAAAAACGUUGAGCUAGUGAUGAAAAGAUAGCAGAAUCAACAAAACUACUGGUAGAUGGAAAGAAAUGGAAUAAUAUUGUUAGCUUCUUCAUUUUGUUGGACCUCUCUAAAAGUUAUUAUCCAGGAGCUGUAGGAGUUCUUGCUAGGAUGUGCUUGGGAGUCCUCACUAUUGUUAGACCAAUUUCUGCGGAAUAAACCCCUGAAAGUGGGACCCUCAGAAUGUAAAACUUGGUUAAACCACUUUUUUUUUUUUUUUUUUUAUGUUCUAACAUUCUGAUUCGUUAAUGGGCAUCUAUAACAAGCAGAGAGCGAACGGAAAUAAUAUGCCCAAGUUUUCAGAACCUUCUCUGUUGUUAGUCACUAAUAAGAGGAAAACAUGACUGAUUACCUCCUUGGUUUUGUAGAAGUUUCUAAUAUUCUGUUUCAUAAACAGCCUGUAUUUUGAACACAAUAUCUUCAUCCUUACAGAUCUUUUGGGGCUGUUAACUCUAGAACAAUCUGUCAUCAAACAAUCUAUGAUUUAGCCACGGAUAACUCUGGCUUUUUAUUUAGUGAGAUUGAUGUUUGCUGACAUUAUGUUUUAUUGCUUAUUUAUAUG